GACGAACGCUGGCGGCGUGCUUAACACAUGCAAGUCGAACGGAGUGCCCCUGAAAGAGUUUUCGGACAAUGGAUGGGAACACUUAGUGGCGGACUGGUGAGUAACGCGUGAGGAACCUGCCUUCCAGAGGGGGACAACAGUUGGAAACGACUGCUAAUACCGCAUGAUACAUUUGAAUCGCAUGGUUUGAAUGUCAAAGAUUUAUCGCUGGAAGAUGGCCUCGCGUCUGAGUAGCUAGUUGGUGAGGUAACGGCCCACCAAGGCGACGAUCAGUAGCCGGACUGAGAGGUUGGCCGGCCACAUUGGGACUGAGAUACGGCCCAG
This 324-nucleotide ribosomal RNA is filed under the name uncultured bacterium. Its description in RNAcentral is "bacterial SSU rRNA". It matches the Rfam family "Bacterial small subunit ribosomal RNA", at positions 28 to 334 of the family's 1533-position model. The record is from RNAcentral.